This 75-nucleotide transfer RNA is filed under the name Actinomycetota bacterium. RNAcentral's name for it is "Actinobacteria bacterium (soil metagenome) tRNA-Lys". It matches the Rfam family "tRNA". Rfam says of the family: Transfer RNA (tRNA) molecules are approximately 80 nucleotides in length. Their secondary structure includes four short double-helical elements and three loops (D, anti-codon, and T loops). The record is from RNAcentral. Lineage: Bacteria; Bacillati; Actinomycetota.
GGGCCGUUAGCUCAGUGGCAGAGCAGGGGGCUUUUAACCCUCGUGUCGAAGGUUCGAUCCCUUCACGGCCCACCG